RNAcentral lists this ribosomal RNA (372 nucleotides) under uncultured organism. Its description in RNAcentral is "bacterial SSU rRNA". It matches the Rfam family "Bacterial small subunit ribosomal RNA", at positions 526 to 896 of the family's 1533-position model. The record is from RNAcentral.
CAGAGGGUGCAAACGUUGUUCGGAAUUACUGGGCGUAAAGCGCGUGUAGGUGGCAAGGCAAGUCGGGUGUGAAAGCCCUGGGCUCAACCCAGGAAGUGCACUCGAUACUGCCUCGCUAGAGUCCCGGAGAGGUUGGUGGAACUCUCGGUGUAGAGGUGAAAUUCGUAGAUAUCGAGAAGAACACCGGUGGCGAAGGCGGCCAACUGGACGGUGACUGACACUGAGACGCGAAAGCGUGGGGAGCAAACAGGAUUAGAUACCCUGGUAGUCCACGCCGUAAACGAUGGGUGCUAGGUGUCACGGGUAUUGACCCCUGUGGCGCCGUAGCUAACGCAUUAAGCACCCCGCCUGGGAAGUACGGCCGCAAGGCUA